Molecule: transfer RNA, 73 nt
Filed under: Runella slithyformis
Lineage: Bacteria; Pseudomonadati; Bacteroidota; Cytophagia; Cytophagales; Spirosomataceae
Description: tRNA-Thr
Rfam family: tRNA
About the family: Transfer RNA (tRNA) molecules are approximately 80 nucleotides in length.
Source: RNAcentral
GCCCCUGUAGCUCAGUUGGUAGAGCGGCGCAUUCGUAAUGCGUAGGUCGCAGGUUCAAGUCCUGUCAGAGGCU